RNAcentral lists this ribosomal RNA (253 nucleotides) under uncultured bacterium. RNAcentral's name for it is "partial 16S ribosomal RNA". It matches the Rfam family "Bacterial small subunit ribosomal RNA", at positions 524 to 776 of the family's 1533-position model. The record is from RNAcentral.
UACGUAGGGUGCGAGCGUUGUCCGGAAUUAUUGGGCGUAAAGAGCUCGUAGGCGGCCUGUCGCGUCCGCUGUGAAAUCCCGGGGCUUAACCCCGGGCGUGCAGUGGAUACGGGCUGGCUGGAGGCAGGCAGGGGAGAACGGGAUUCCCGGUGUAGCGGUGAAAUGCGCAGAUAUCGGGAGGAACACCGGUGGCGAAGGCGGUUCUCUGGGCCGAUACUGACGCUGAGGAGCGAAAGCGUGGGGAGCGAACAGG